AGAGUUUGAUCAUGGCCUCAGAUUGAACGCUGGCGGCAUGCCUUACACAUGCAAGUCGAACGGCAGCACGGGAGCUUGCUCCUGGUGGCGAGUGGCGAACGGGUGAGUAAUAUAUCGGAAGGUACCCUAGAGUGGGGGAUAACGCAGCGAAAGUUGCGCUAAUACCGCAUACGAUCUACGGAUGAAAGUGGGGGAUCGCAAGACCUCAUGCUCAUGGAGCGGCCGAUAUCUGAUUAGCUAGUUGGUAGGGUAAAAGCCUACCAAGGCUUCGAUCAGUACCUGGUCUGAGAGGACGACCAGCCACACUGGAACUGAGACACGGUCCAGACUCCUACGGGAGGCAACAGUGGGGAAUUUUGGACAAUGGGCGCAAGCCUGAUCCAGCAAUGCCGCGUGAGUGAAGAAGGCCUUCGGGUUGUAAAGCUCUUUUGUCAGGGAAGAAACGGUGGACUCUAAUACAGAUCACUAAUGACGGUACCUGAAGAAUAAGCACCGGCUAACUACGUGCCAGCAGCCGCGGUAAUACGUAGGGUGCAAGCGUUAAUCGGAAUUACUGGGCGUAAAGCGUGCGCAGGCGGUUUGGUAAGACAGAUGUGAAAUCCCCGGGCUCAACCUGGGAAUUGCAUUUGUGACUGCCCGGCUAGAGUGUGUCAGAGGGGGGUAGAAUUCCACGUGUAGCAGUGAAAUGCGUAGAGAUGCGGAGGAAUACCGAUGGCGAAGGCAGCCCCCUGGGAUAACACUGACGCUCAUGCACGAAAGCGUGGGGAGCAAACAGGAUUAGAUACCCUGGUAGUCCACGCCCUAAACGAUGUCUACUAGUUGUUGGGUCUUAAUUGACUUAGUAACGCAGCUAACGCGUGAAGUAAACCCCCUGGGGA
RNAcentral lists this ribosomal RNA (878 nucleotides) under uncultured bacterium. RNAcentral's name for it is "bacterial SSU rRNA". It matches the Rfam family "Bacterial small subunit ribosomal RNA", at positions 8 to 879 of the family's 1533-position model. The record is from RNAcentral.